GUGAGUGUGGUGUAGCGGUAACAUAAGACUCUUCCAAAGUUUUGUCGCGGGUUCGAUCCCCGUCACUCACUC
This 72-nucleotide transfer RNA is filed under the name Microbacterium phage PauloDiaboli. RNAcentral's name for it is "tRNA-Gly". It matches the Rfam family "tRNA". From Rfam's summary of the family: Transfer RNA (tRNA) molecules are approximately 80 nucleotides in length. The record is from RNAcentral. Lineage: Duplodnaviria; Heunggongvirae; Uroviricota; Caudoviricetes.